AAUAGAUACCCCGGUAGUCCACGCUGUAAACGAUGAGGACUAAAUGUUGGUAGGGGAACCUAUCGGUAUUGAAGCUAACGCGAUAAGUCUUCCGCCUGGGAAGUACGGCCGCAAGGUUGAAACUCAAAUGAAUUGACGGGGGCCCGCACAAGCGGUGGAGCAUGUGGUUUAAUUCGAUGCAACGCGAAGAACCUUACCUACCCUUGACAUCCUGCGAAUCCCGAUGAGAGUUGGGAGUGCCGCAAGGAGCGCAGAGACAGGUGCUGCAUGGCUGUCGUCAGCUCGUGUUGUGAGAUGUUGGGUUAAGUCCCGUAACGAGCGCAACCCUUGUCCUUAGUUGCCAGCAUUAAGUUGGGGACUCUAAGGAGACUGCCGGUGAGGAACCGGAGGAAGGCGGGGACGACGUCAAGUCAUCAUGGCCUUUAUGGGUAGGGCUACACACGUGCUACAAUGGGGCGUACAGAGGGUCGCGAACCCGCGAGGGGAGCCAAUCUCAUAAAGCGUCUCGUAGUCCGGAUUGGAGUCUGCAACUCGACU
This 537-nucleotide ribosomal RNA is filed under the name uncultured bacterium. RNAcentral's name for it is "bacterial SSU rRNA". It matches the Rfam family "Bacterial small subunit ribosomal RNA", at positions 777 to 1317 of the family's 1533-position model. The record is from RNAcentral.